GUAGACGGCCGUCAGUCGUCGGGGAGGCGAGCCGUGGAUCAUAAUCGGCGUUCCCGUCUGAUUCAUGGAUCGGAAAGUUCGCUUUCCGUCUAAUGGCUGCAGACCGGAAUUGAAUGCAGAACCGAGAGUCCUCUCGCCUAGGGCGUGGGUCAUUUGGAAGCUGAGGAAUGCGGGGAUAGAGGGAAGGAGCGCCGGCGGCGAGACACCAUGGAGUUUCUGAUGCAGCCCAUCGGCAGAGGUAGGGAUAGUUUGGUGCCGGCUCCUGCGGCUCUGGGAUGGGGGGUUUUGAGGUGGCACAGCCGGUGGAGCGCGAGGCGGCGCAGCAUCGGAAGGUGGACACUGCCAUAGUGGUGAGGCACAAAUCUUCUUGGGGAAGGAGACGGCGGCGGACAGAAGAGAGAGCUCGCCGCCGACAUCUGAGCUGUCAACGAGGAAAAUGAACCUCCAAGCCCCUGGGUGGAACACGAGGCUGAGGAUUGGUGUUGCUGCACCGAGCAGAACACUCUGCGCAAAUCGUAUAAAUGCGUUCGAGAAGGCAGUCAGGUGUUUUGCAAAAAAAACAGCUGAAAAUGUGACCACACCGGUUCGUGGAAGAUGACAGGAAGCUCAGGGAGCAAGAGAAGCAUUUCAAGGUUGCGAGGAAGUGUCGGGAGGACGCAGAGAGGAACGCGAUGAAACAUUUUGUUGAAAUUUGUUGAUUAUUGGGCAUGUCGAAGAUGGUAGUUGUAUGGGUUGGUGCAGCCACAGAUGAGGAGAUCGCACACGCAUCUCAAGAUGUUGCUGCUAGU
Triticum dicoccoides is the source of this 788-nucleotide long non-coding RNA. RefSeq lists it as uncharacterized. The record is from RefSeq and is a predicted model, not a curated record. Lineage: Eukaryota; Viridiplantae; Streptophyta; Magnoliopsida; Poales; Poaceae. The transcript has 4 exons.